Molecule: transfer RNA, 90 nt
Filed under: Spiribacter salilacus
Lineage: Bacteria; Pseudomonadati; Pseudomonadota; Gammaproteobacteria; Chromatiales; Ectothiorhodospiraceae
Description: tRNA-Ser
Rfam family: tRNA
About the family: Transfer RNA (tRNA) molecules are approximately 80 nucleotides in length. Their secondary structure includes four short double-helical elements and three loops (D, anti-codon, and T loops).
Source: RNAcentral
GGAGAGGUGGCUGAGUGGUUGAAAGCGCCGCACUCGAAAUGCGGUAGGUCUUAACGGGCCUCGGGGGUUCGAAUCCCUCCCUCUCCGCCA